RNAcentral lists this ribosomal RNA (611 nucleotides) under uncultured bacterium. Its description in RNAcentral is "bacterial SSU rRNA". The stretch from base 1 to 519 matches the Rfam family "Bacterial small subunit ribosomal RNA", at positions 338 to 873 of the family's 1533-position model. The record is from RNAcentral.
CCUACGGGAGGCAGCAGUGGGGAAUAUUGGACAAUGGGCGAAAGCCUGAUCCAGCAAUGCCGCGUGAGUGAUGAAGGCCUUAGGGUUGUAAAGCUCUUUUACCAGGGAUAAUAAUGACAGUACCUGGAGAAUAAGCUCCGGCUAACUCCGUGCCAGCAGCCGCGGUAAUACGGAGGGAGCUAGCGUUGUUCGGAAUUACUGGGCGUAAAGCGUACGUAGGCGGUUAUUCAAGUCAGAGGUGAAAGCCUGGAGCUCAACUCCAGAACUGCCUUUGAAACUAGAUAGCUAGAAUCACGGAGAGGUUAGUGGAAUUCCGAGUGUAGAGGUGAAAUUCGUAGAUAUUCGGAAGAACACCAGUGGCGAAGGCGACUAACUGGACGUGUAUUGACGCUGAGGUACGAAAGCGUGGGGAGCAAACAGGAUUAGAUACCCUGGUAGUCCACGCCGUAAACGAUGAUAACCUAGCUGUUCGGUCUCUACGAGACUGAGUGGCGCAGCUACGACAUUAAGUUAUCCGUCCGUCGGGUAGGUACGGUCGCGAGAAUUAAACUAACAAAUAGUAAGUUAGACGGCGUGAGACGUGCCGAACGGACGACGACGAGGGAGGUAGG